UACGUAGGGUGCAAGCGUUAAUCGGAAUUACUGGGCGUAAAGCGUGCGCAGGCGGUUUGCUAAGUCCGAUGUGAAAUCCCCGGGCUUAACCUGGGAACUGCAUUGGUGACUGGCAAGCUAGAGUGUGGCAGAGGGGGGUAGAAUUCCACGUGUAGCAGUGAAAUGCGUAGAGAUGUGGAGGAAUACCGAUGGCGAAGGCAGCCCCCUGGGCCAACACUGACGCUCAUGCACGAAAGCGUGGGGAGCAAACAGG
Molecule: ribosomal RNA, 253 nt
Filed under: uncultured bacterium
Lineage: Bacteria
Description: partial 16S ribosomal RNA
Rfam family: Bacterial small subunit ribosomal RNA
Source: RNAcentral